Acanthosepion pharaonis is the source of this 92-nucleotide non-coding RNA. The record is from the annotation of a GenBank genome assembly. Lineage: Eukaryota; Metazoa; Mollusca; Cephalopoda; Sepiida; Sepiidae.
AGAAACACCAUUUCCCGUCCAAUCACUGAAGUUAAGCAAUGUUCAGCCUGGUCAGUAUUCAAAUGGGUGAUCACUGGGAAAUACUAGGUGCU